CAGGCUUAACACAUGCAAGUCGAGGGGCAGCACAGGUAGCAAUACCGGGUGGCGACCGGCGCACGGGUGAGUAACGCGUAUGCAACUUGCCUAUCAGAGGGGGAUAACCCGGCGAAAGUCGGACUAAUACCGCAUGAAGCAGGGGCCCCGCAUGGGGAUAUUUGCUAAAGAUUCAUCGCUGAUAGAUAGGCAUGCGUUCCAUUAGGCAGUUGGCGGGGUAACGGCCCACCAAACCGACGAUGGAUAGGGGUUCUGAGAGGAAGGUCCCCCACAUUGGUACUGAGACACGGACCAAACUCCUACGGGAGGCAGCAGUGAGGAAUAUUGGUCAAUGGCCGAGAGGCUGAACCAGCCAAGUCGCGUGAGGGAUGAAGGUUCUAUGGAUCGUAAACCUCUUUUAUAAGGGAAUAAAGUGCGGGACGUGUCCCGUUUUGUAUGUACCUUAUGAAUAAGGAUCGGCUAACUCCGUGCCAGCAGCCGCGGUAAUACGGAGGAUCCGAGCGUUAUCCGGAUUUAUUGGGUUUAAAGGGUGCGUAGGCGGCCUUUUAAGUCAGCGGUGAAAGUCUGUGGCUCAACCAUAGAAUUGCCGUUGAAACUGGGGGGCUUGAGUAUGUUUGAGGCAGGCGGAAUGCGUGGUGUAGCGGUGAAAUGCAUAGAUAUCACGCAGAACCCCGAUUGCGAAGGCAGCCUGCCAAGCCAUUACUGACGCUGAUGCACGAAAGCGUGGGGAUCAAACAGGAUUAGAUACCCUGGUAGUCCACGCAGUAAACGAUGAUCACUAGCUGUUUGCGAUACACUGUAAGCGGCACAGCGAAAGCGUUAAGUGAUCCACCUGGGGGGUACGCCGGCAACGGUGAAACUCAAAGGAAUUGACGGGGGCCCGCACAAGCGGAGGAACAUGUGGUUUAAUUCGAUGAUACGCGAGGAACCUUACCCGGGUUUGAACGCAUUCGGACCGAGGUGGAAACACCUUUUCUAGCAAUAGCCGUUUGCGAGGUGCUGCAUGGUUGUCGUCAGCUCGUGCCGUGAGGUGUCGGCUUAAGUGCCAUAACGAGCGCAACCCUUGCCACUAGUUACUAACAGGUAAAGCUGAGGACUCUGGUGGGACUGCCAGCGUAAGCUGCGAGGAAGGCGGGGAUGACGUCAAAUCAGCACGGCCCUUACAUCCGGGGCGACACACGUGUUACAAUGGCGUGGACAAAGGGAAGCCACCUGGCGACAGGGAGCGAAUCCCCAAACCACGUCUCAGUUCGGAUCGGAGUCUGCAACCCGACUCCGUGAAGCUGGAUUCGCUAGUAAUCGCGCAUCAGCCAUGGCGCGGUGAAUACGUUCCCGGGCCUUGUACACACCGCCCGUCAAGCCAUGGGAGCCGGGGGUACCUGAAGUCCGUAACCGCGAGGAUCGGCCUAGGGUAAAACUGGUGACUGGGGCUAAGUAGU
This 1439-nucleotide ribosomal RNA is filed under the name uncultured organism. Its description in RNAcentral is "SSU rRNA". It matches the Rfam family "Bacterial small subunit ribosomal RNA". The record is from RNAcentral.